Molecule: transfer RNA, 69 nt
Filed under: Ictidomys tridecemlineatus (thirteen-lined ground squirrel)
Lineage: Eukaryota; Metazoa; Chordata; Mammalia; Rodentia; Sciuridae
Description: Spermophilus tridecemlineatus (thirteen-lined ground squirrel) tRNA
Rfam family: tRNA
About the family: Transfer RNA (tRNA) molecules are approximately 80 nucleotides in length. Their secondary structure includes four short double-helical elements and three loops (D, anti-codon, and T loops).
Source: Rfam by way of RNAcentral
GGGGUUGUAACUCAGUGGUAGAGUGCUUGCCUCGAAUGCAUGAGGCACUGGAUUUGAUCCUCAUCACCA